GAUGAACGCUGGCGGUAUGCUUAACACAUGCAAGUCGAACGGACUCUUCGGAGUUAGUGGCGGACGGGUGAGUAACGCGUGAGAAUCUGGCUUUGGGUUCGGGACAACCACUGGAAACGGUGGCUAAUACCGGAUGUGCCGAGAGGUAAAAGAGGAAUUGCCUGCAGAUGAGGUCGCGGUUGAUUAGCUAGUUGGUGAGGUAAAGGCCCACCAAGGCAGCGAUCAGUAGCUGGUCUGAGGGGAUGACCAGCCACACCAGGGCUGCGACACCGCCCAGCCCACUCCGACGGGAAGCAGUAGUGGAUAAUCCGCGAUGGGCGACGGCCUGAUGAAGCAGUACCGCCUGGUGGAAGAAGGAUCUUUUGGUGUUGAACUGUUUUCUUACCCAAGAACAUAAUGACGGUACCUAAGGAAUAAGCUCCGGCUAACUCCGUG
RNAcentral lists this ribosomal RNA (435 nucleotides) under uncultured bacterium. RNAcentral's name for it is "partial 16S ribosomal RNA". It matches the Rfam family "Bacterial small subunit ribosomal RNA", at positions 28 to 507 of the family's 1533-position model. The record is from RNAcentral.